CUGAAGACAGUACAUUGUUAUGGCUGAAAGAGGUUAUGUGAGGCAUAGGAAGAAAAGACAAAGAAAAUUUAUUUUUGAGAGACUAAAUGAGUUAAUUGUCAUCUUUGAGAAAUGCUAUAGAGAUGUUUUGAGAGAAUUGAGUUUAAUUCUUAAGCUGGAAGGAAGAUCUGCUAUAUAGAUAAGAAAUACUGAACAAAAAUCUUGAGAGACUGUCAUCCUGAGAGAAUUGAAUGGAGGGACUAUGAUUCUGAAGAAAAGUCUGUAGUUGCAGUUAAUGUUUUCCCUGUUGUGCUUGAUAAUAAAGACUUUAAAAUUGCUCAAAAGAAGGGUGCUAUUUUUAAGAAGUAGAACAAGAAGGAAAAGCCUGUUUCUCUUCCUCAGACAAGAAACGAUUUGUCACUAUUCAUUUAAAGCUACUUUUCAAGAAUUUUUCCUGUCUGCAUUAAGGAAGAAAAAACAAACCAGAUGACAAAGCAAGACAAGUUCUGUGUUUUACUUUCCUCAGAGAAGUGAAACAGAAUAUUCUUUGUUUCAGCUGCUCCAGUGGAUUCUCUUUUCAAAUUGGUCAGGUAUAUAUCAGGUAUUAUUAAAAGACGGUUCCACAGCAGAGACAAACAAUGAGCAAAGAUGCAAACUGUGUUUCUCUUUACACUUCUGUAUCCAAAACCAGUUGUUUAUUAGUAUGAAUAAAAGUCACUGUCUUAAUCAUAUAGACUCGAUAAAGGAAAAGGGCUAAUCACAAAGACAUGAGUUGUGUUUCUCUUUACAUUCCUGUAUCCAAAGCCAAUUGUUUAUUAAUAUGAAUAAAAGUCAGUGUCUUAAUCAUACAAACUUUGUAAAGGAAAACUGCUGAUGUUUCCCAAUUAUUCGAAUGUUUUGAUUUCACUUCCUUCUUUGCUAUGCUUCUGCCUCUCAGAAUUUCACCACCUUCUUCCGUGUAACAUCUCUCCUCCAGGCUCCCCCCCUUCUCUCUUCAGUGAGCUCCUUUUGUGGGGAAAGAAGGGCUUUGGAGGGCUAUGCUUCACUCCCUUCUUGGCUAUGUUUCUUACUCUCUUCCCAGUAAGGUACCACCCCCAUUUCAGCUCCCAUUUAUGUGCUGUCUUUCUCAUUAGAAUGUAAGCCCCUAGAGGGCAAGAACUCUUUUUUUGCCUGUAUUUGUAUUUCUAUUGCUUUGCACAUGCCUGACAUAGAGUAAACAAUUCAUAAAUUUGCUUGCU
Non-coding RNA from Phascolarctos cinereus (koala), 1217 nucleotides. NCBI's taxonomy places the organism in Eukaryota, Metazoa, Chordata, Mammalia, Diprotodontia, Phascolarctidae. The record is from RefSeq and is a predicted model, not a curated record.